UACGGGGGGGGCAAGCGUUGUUCGGAAUUACUGGGCGUAAAGGGUGCGUAGGCGGCUUGUCACGUCGGGUGUGAAAGCCCGGGGCUUAACCCCGGGUCUGCAUUCGAUACGGGCUAGCUAGAGUGUGGUAGGGGAGAUCGGAAUCCCUGGUGUAGCGGUGAAAUGCGCAGAUAUCAGGAGGAACACCGGUGGCGAAGGCGGAUCUCUGGGCCAUAACUGACGCUGAGGAGCGAAAGCAUGGGGAGCGAACAGG
Molecule: ribosomal RNA, 253 nt
Filed under: uncultured bacterium
Lineage: Bacteria
Description: partial 16S ribosomal RNA
Rfam family: Bacterial small subunit ribosomal RNA
Source: RNAcentral